This is a non-coding RNA of Sus scrofa (pig), 2098 nucleotides long. Lineage: Eukaryota; Metazoa; Chordata; Mammalia; Artiodactyla; Suidae. The record is from RefSeq and is a predicted model, not a curated record.
CCCGAGAUCCGAACCGGAGGAGUCUCUUAAGCUUGCGUGUUCCCGGCUGCAGUGGCUGCCUUGCGGUAUGGGACGAGCGGGGCCCGAGCGGGCGGAAAUUUGAGAGUUGAAAAAUACUCCCAGAAUCCACAUACUACAUCAGAAAGACUUGGAACUCUCCUGCCAGCAUGGUGCCUGCACUGCUGCUGUGUAUCUGCCUUUGGUGCAGCCAGAAACCAGCCACACGAACCUUGGUACCAGUGAACUUGUGCUGGCCACUGGGCAUUAGGGCAUUGACUACAAGAGCCGAUCAGAGGGGUGGGGUGUAGAGGGGUACGGGUAAUAAAGAGGAUGUGACCUCAGGUUGAUGCUCCAGCUGGACCUUGGCAACUGAAGGCUCCUCCCUCCUCCCCCACCCUUGGGGUGUAUAUUUCACCCAUUGCUGGCAAGGGGGGAGCCAUUUCAAGGUCACUGCCUUGAGAGAGCAACGUGGAGACCAUCUGCCCUGAAAAUGGACUGAACACCAAGCGCCUGUCUACUCACCUCUCAGCGAAGGAGACAAGCCCUUUAAGUAAGUUCCCUGGCUUGUUAGAACUACCUUCCAGGGUUUGGGUGAUCCACCUCUUCCUGUGGUCUCUCCCUGCCCUCUUUCCCGGGGUCAGUUUCAGAUUUCACCAGGGAUUUUUCCUGAAGUUCCCUGCCUUUCAGCAGCAAACAGGUGUGUUAACAUGACUCGCAGGACAUCCUAUAGAUGUAGACGCAGCAGGUGCGGGUAGGUGGAUGGCACAGAGAACUGCACCUGGUGUAGAGCAGGCACCCCCACCUGGCCACUAACUGUGCAGUUUCGUCCACUUCUUCUGACGUUUGGCAACUUUACUGUCUGAAAAAAUCCAGAAAAAUAGUUCUCAAACGAUGCUCUUACAGCAUAGGCAAUGCUUCUGAUUGAAUAGAGCAGUUCUGCGAAAAUUGAUUAAUGGCGAUUCUCACCCUCCAAUUAACAGAAGUGAAACAACUUUUGUGCCAAAACACGGAGGGAGGAUUAACAUUCUGACGCGGACAUUCGGAGUGACCUGGGUUGGGCUGUUUAUUUUUCCCUCGUGAGCCCAACACUUCAUCUGUCAAACAGUAAAAUUAAUACACCCCCUGUGAAACCACUCUGGGGGUCAAGAGAAAUUUGUACAACAGCUGAGUACUGUGUCUAGAAUACAGUUGAUAUUCAAAAUUAAUAAUUUUAUGUUUUGCACUUCCCAUUUAUCUGGACUGCAGCAUUCUUUUGUGUUUAGAAUCAUGCAGUUCAAUAGCACUAAUUACUGUUCUCCUCUGGACAGGAGCAUUGUGGUAACAGCUCAAAGGAAGUAGAAGUGAAAUACUAGUUGAACUGGAAAGACAGAUUCAAUCAUAAUGUUCACUUAUGUGUCACAGAAAUGUAAUUUUGUGUUGAUGUGUGUGCAAGAGAGAGAUAUCUAAAGAAAGCCAGAGAGAUGAGAGCCAGAGAUAUUGAAGGAAGAUAACAUCACAGAAGGGAAUGGUCUGAAAUGUGUAUUGCUUUGGCAUCUCAUUUCACCCAGUAUUUCUGAUUAUUGGAAAAUUAUAGGCCAAUGGUGUGGUGUGUGUGAUGUGUGUGUAUAUGUGUGUUUCCAAUUGUUUAGAGACGACAAUAAAAAGGAUUUUAGAUUAAUCAGUGGCUGAGGGCCAGGUGGAAUAUAAUGAUGGAUUGCCAAAGAAACCACCCCACAAGAGACAGCCAGAGGUAUGAUAAAAGAGAAAUACAUAUUUAUACCUUGUUCAAAGUAGCUUACUUCAGGUGCAUUCAGAAAAUUGUUUUCCUCUAUGAGGGUUUGAUGGUGCAUUGACUUGCAGCUAACCAACCUUGUCAUUUAGUGCUUGGGACAGCUGUCCUUUCUUUGUGAAAAUGCUUGGAUACCCAGGAGAAGUUGAAAUUGAAAUUUUUAUUUACAUUACAGUGAUGAUGCUUUUUAUCAAAUACACAAAGAGAGGAAACCACAAUCUAUAGCAUUAUUAUAUAUCAUCAUACAUUCUUUUUUUUUGGUCUUUUUGUCCUUUUAGGGCCACACCAAAGGACAAAAGGUUCCCAUAGGGAGGUUCCCAGGCUAGGUGU